GCGAACUGAUUAGAAGCUUGCUUCUAUGACGUUAGCGGCGGACGGGUGAGUAACACGUGGGCAACCUGCCUGUAAGACUGGGAUAACUUCGGGAAACCGAAGCUAAUACCGGAUAGGAUCUUCUCCUUCAUGGGAGAUGAUUGAAAGAUGGUUUCGGCUAUCACUUACAGAUGGGCCCGCGGUGCAUUAGCUAGUUGGUGAGGUAACGGCUCACCAAGGCAACGAUGCAUAGCCGACCUGAGAGGGUGAUCGGCCACACUGGGACUGAGACACGGCCCAGACUCCUACGGGAGGCAGCAGUAGGGAAUCUUCCGCAAUGGACGAAAGUCUGACGGAGCAACGCCGCGUGAGUGAUGAAGGCUUUCGGGUCGUAAAACUCUGUUGUUAGGGAAGAACAAGUACGAGAGUAACUGCUCGUACCUUGACGGUACCUAACCAGAAAGCCACGGCUAACUACGUGCCAGCAGCCGCGGUAAUACGUAGGUGGCAAGCGUUAUCCGGAAUUAUUGGGCGUAAAGCGCGCGCAGGCGGUUUCUUAAGUCUGAUGUGAAAGCCCACGGCUCAACCGUGGAGGGUCAUUGGAAACUGGGGAACUUGAGUGCAGAAGAGAAAAGCGGAAUUCCACGUGUAGCGGUGAAAUGCGUAGAGAUGUGGAGGAACACCAGUGGCGAAGGCGGCUUUUUGGUCUGUAACUGACGCUGAGGCGCGAAAGCGUGGGGAGCAAACAGGAUU
RNAcentral lists this ribosomal RNA (732 nucleotides) under Bacillus sp. 17879. RNAcentral describes it as "bacterial SSU rRNA". It matches the Rfam family "Bacterial small subunit ribosomal RNA", at positions 66 to 779 of the family's 1533-position model. The record is from RNAcentral. Lineage: Bacteria; Bacillati; Bacillota; Bacilli; Caryophanales; Bacillaceae.